CAAAUAAAACCAACCCUUACACCCUAGUAGCUCACCACUGGAAAAAGAGUCACAAAGGGUUCCUGGACAUCUAAGGUUCCAUCAGUCUCUUGGGGUUCUGUAGUCCAGAAGGGUUAUCUGAAUGGGGUGGGGGAUACCUGCCUGCCUGAGAAUAUGCCAUAGUGCACCCAGAGCCUAACGAAUGAAGAGCUUGACCCAAUUAAGGCUCUCUAUUCCAAAGCCACCUCCUUUCCAAAAACAAGUUCCAGACCAAAAUGGCUACAGAUCCUUUUCCAAAGGAAGAGGGCAAAAAAGGAAGAAAAAAUGGAAGAGAUUGAGGAAGGAGAAAAGUAGAAAAAUCAAGAACAAAAGAAUGAAAGAGAAAAAAGGACAAAGAUGUUAAAGAUUGGAGAAAAAUAAAAGGAGAGACAGAAAAACAAAGUAAAGAAGCUAAAGUAGAGAGAAGAGGAGAAAGAAGAAAAAGAGUGAGAGACAGACAAGGAAGAAGAAGAGAUAGAGGAAGAAGAAAAAAGGAGACUUUAGCCAACAAGGGCUGAAACCAUGUUGAUGAUUGACUGCUGGCAUUUAUAUGGUUGGUAACCAGUGACUUAAGGGUCCUCCUGAACAUGAUGCCUCACUAAUCUCUUCUCUCCAUGUUUCUUUCCCUUAGGGUUGAAUGAAAUGUACAGGGCUAGCCAUCCAUCCAGUCCUCCUUCCUGAUCUCUGGUUGGUGUCCAUUUCUUCCCUUCUCUUCAUUUCCCUCCCACUACUACCCUGGGUCUUUCCAUGUUGUAGGGCUUUGGAAAUAUGGUUCCAAAUUAUUUUGCAUCCACAAGUAAG
Molecule: long non-coding RNA, 819 nt
Filed under: Monodelphis domestica (gray short-tailed opossum)
Lineage: Eukaryota; Metazoa; Chordata; Mammalia; Didelphimorphia; Didelphidae
Description: lncRNA (ENSMODG00000031692.2)
Source: RNAcentral